AUACGGAGGAUGCAAGCGUUAUCCGGAUUUAUUGGGUUUAAAGGGUGCGUAGGCGGAUGAUUAAGCGUGAGGUGAAAUGCCACUGCUCAACAGUGGAACUGCCUCGCGAACUGGUUGUCUUGAAUGCUCCUGCCGUGGGAGGAAUGUGUGGUGUAGCGGUGAAAUGCAUAGAGAUCACACAGAACACCGAUUGCGAAGGCAUCUCACGAAGGGUUGAUUGACGCUGAGGCACGAAAGCGUGGGAUCAAACAGGAUUAGAUACCCUGGUAGUCCACGCAGUAAACGAUGAUGGCUAACCGCUGGGCUUAUCAGUUCAGUGGCCAAGCGAAAGCGAUAAGCCAUCCACCUGGGGAGUACGACCGCAAGGUUGAAACUCAAAUGAAUGGGCGGGG
This 392-nucleotide ribosomal RNA is filed under the name uncultured bacterium. RNAcentral describes it as "partial 16S ribosomal RNA". It matches the Rfam family "Bacterial small subunit ribosomal RNA", at positions 523 to 918 of the family's 1533-position model. The record is from RNAcentral.